GUAUAGUGAAGCCUUCCUGGAUCUUGGCUUUAGUCUGCAUGUUCUAGAAGGGCAAUGAGAGAUGUGGAAGACUUGAGAGGAUGUAAUGGAGGCAAAAAGUGGGGACCAACCACCCAAACACCCCACUGAGCACUUGUGCAUUUGACAUUGAGAUGUUCUCAGGGAUUUCUGGAGUCUCCUGAUUGAAAAAAGGUAAAAAGCAACUCAGACACAGGGGGAAGAUAGAAUCUCCUAGAGCUCCAUGAGGCGUGAGAACCUUGCUUCUGGGGCAGCAAACAGUCACCAUUGUUGAGGCGGGGCCAUGACCAGAGGUUGGACCUUCAUGGAGCGGCUCGGUCAAUUGUUGAACCUUUGAGAGGAGCUUGAAAUGAAACUUCUGACAAGCACUGCCCUAAGGUAAAAAGCAACUCAGACACAGGGGGAAGAUAGAAUCUCCUAGAGCUCCAUGAGGCGUGAGAACCUUGCUUCUGGGGCAGCAUUGCUGAGGCGGGGCAAUGACCAGACGUUGGACCUUCAUGGAG
Long non-coding RNA from Xenopus tropicalis (tropical clawed frog), 521 nucleotides. RefSeq lists it as uncharacterized. The transcript is spliced from 6 exons. The record is from RefSeq and is a predicted model, not a curated record. Lineage: Eukaryota; Metazoa; Chordata; Amphibia; Anura; Pipidae.